ACGGGUGGUAAUGCCGGAUGCUCCGACUCCUCGCAUGGGGUGUCGGGAAAGAUUUCAUCGGUAUGGGAUGGGGUCGCGUCCUAUCAGGUAGUCGGCGGGGUAACGGCCCACCGAGCCUACGACGGGUAGCCGGCCUGAGAGGGCGACCGGCCACAUUGGGACUGAGAUACGGCCCAGACUCCUACGGGAGGCAGCAGUGGGGAAUAUUGCACAAUGGGCGCAAGCCUGAUGCAGCGACGCCGCGUGCGGGAUGACGGCCUUCGGGUUGUAAACCGCUUUUGAUCGGGAGCAAGCCUUCGGGUGAGUGUACCUUUCGAAUAAGCACCGGCUAACUACGUGCCAGCAGCCGCGGUAAUACGUAGGGUGCAAGCGUUAUCCGGAAUUAUUGGGCGUAAAGGGCUCGUAGGCGGUUCGUCGCGUCCGGUGUGAAAGUCCAUCGCUUAACGGUGGAUCUGCGCCGGGUACGGGCGGGCUGGAGUGCGGUAGGG
This 488-nucleotide ribosomal RNA is filed under the name Bifidobacterium pseudocatenulatum. Its description in RNAcentral is "bacterial SSU rRNA". It matches the Rfam family "Bacterial small subunit ribosomal RNA", at positions 156 to 656 of the family's 1533-position model. The record is from RNAcentral. Lineage: Bacteria; Bacillati; Actinomycetota; Actinomycetes; Bifidobacteriales; Bifidobacteriaceae.